Molecule: ribosomal RNA, 1372 nt
Filed under: uncultured bacterium
Lineage: Bacteria
Description: bacterial SSU rRNA
Rfam family: Bacterial small subunit ribosomal RNA
Source: RNAcentral
GAUGAACGCUGGCGGCGUGCCUAAUACAUGCAAGUCGAGCGAACAGAUAAGGAGCUUGCUCCUUUGACGUUAGCGGCGGACGGGUGAGUAACACGUGGGUAACCUACCUAUAAGACUGGGAUAACUUCGGGAAACCGGAGCUAAUACCGGAUAAUAUUUCGAACCGCAUGGUUCGAUAGUGAAAGAUGGUUUUGCUAUCACUUAUAGAUGGACCCGCGCCGUAUUAGCUAGUUGGUAAGGUAACGGCUUACCAAGGCGACGAUACGUAGCCGACCUGAGAGGGUGAUCGGCCACACUGGAACUGAGACACGGUCCAGACUCCUACGGGAGGCAGCAGUAGGGAAUCUUCCGCAAUGGGCGAAAGCCUGACGGAGCAACGCCGCGUGAGUGAUGAAGGUCUUCGGAUCGUAAAACUCUGUUAUUAGGGAAGAACAUACGUGUAAGUAACUAUGCACGUCUUGACGGUACCUAAUCAGAAAGCCACGGCUAACUACGUGCCAGCAGCCGCGGUAAUACGUAGGUGGCAAGCGUUAUCCGGAAUUAUUGGGCGUAAAGCGCGCGUAGGCGGUUUUUUAAGUCUGAUGUGAAAGCCCACGGCUCAACCGUGGAGGGUCAUUGGAAACUGGAAAACUUGAGUGCAGAAGAGGAAAGUGGAAUUCCAUGUGUAGCGGUGAAAUGCGCAGAGAUAUGGAGGAACACCAGUGGCGAAGGCGACUUUCUGGUCUGUAACUGACGCUGAUGUGCGAAAGCGUGGGGAUCAAACAGGAUUAGAUACCCUGGUAGUCCACGCCGUAAACGAUGAGUGCUAAGUGUUAGGGGGGUUCCGCCCCUUAGUGCUGCAGCUAACGCAUUAAGCACUCCGCCUGGGGAGUACGACCGCAAGGUUGAAACUCAAAGGAAUUGACGGGGACCCGCACAAGCGGUGGAGCAUGUGGUUUAACUCGAAGCAACGCGAAGAACCUUACCAAAUCUUGACAUCCUUUGACAACUCUAGAGAUAGAGCCUUCCCCUUCGGGGGACAAAGUGACAGGUGGUGCAUGGUUGUCGUCAGCUCGUGUCGUGAGAUGUUGGGUUAAGUCCCGCAACGAGCGCAACCCUUAAGCUUAGUUGCCAUCAUUAAGUUGGGCACUCUAAGUUGACUGCCGGUGACAAACCGGAGGAAGGUGGGGAUGACGUCAAAUCAUCAUGCCCCUUAUGAUUUGGGCUACACACGUGCUACAAUGGACAAUACAAAGGGCAGCGAAACCGCGAGGUCAAGCAAAUCCCAUAAAGUUGUUCUCAGUUCGGAUUGUAGUCUGCAACUCGACUACAUGAAGCUGGAAUCGCUAGUAAUCGUAGAUCAGCAUGCUACGGUGAAUACGUUCCCGGGUCU